UCGCGCCGCUGAUUACGUAAUGCCGCCGCGGCGGAGGCGGUCCUGCUGGCUGCUGUGUACGCGGCGAGCGACACCUGGUGCGGCCAGCUCGGCUCCUGCGACGCCCGCGUCCGCGGCCUCGACACUAGCUGCGGCCCGGCCGCCGCUUGAACAUGGACUCCGCCGGCCAAGAUAUCAACCUGAAUUCUCCUAACAAAGGCCUGCUCUCCGACUCCAUGACGGAUGUCCCUGUCGACACAGCCCAGACGCCUGUCGAGGGUCUGACGGAGGCCGAGGCUGAGGAGCUGAGGGCCGAGCUGGCAAAGGUCGAGGAGGAAAUUGUCACUCUGCGCCAGGUGCUGGCCGCCAAGGAGCGCCACUGCGGAGAGCUGAGGCGGAAGCUGGGCCUCUCAGCCUUGGAGGGCCUGCGGCAGAACCUGUCACGGAGCUGGCAGGACGUGCAAGGCUCCAGCGCCUACAAGAAGACUCAGGAAACUCUCUCUCAGGCGGGACAGAAGACCUCAGCUGCCCUGUCCACCAUGGGCUCAGCCAUCAGCAGGAAGCUCGGAGACAUGAGGAGCGUUCGUGGGUGCCCUUGGGUCACUGGUACUUGGGCUCAGUGGAGGCCCGUCCAAGAGAAGAUGAUUCCGGCGAGGGGCUGGCGGCACCCAGGACCGGCCGCCUCCAAGAGUGUGCCCUUCCACACCGGGGCGCCGCCGAGUGAUCUGUCCCAGAGGCUGACGAGAUGCUCCUGCCCCCCAGGUGCCUCUGGAGCAGGUGGGGGGUGCAUGGGGCUCGGGCCCUUGGUGGGCCGCACACUGCGGUGCCAGCCCGAGCCCAGUGGCCACGCCUGUCCCCAGGCCAGGGCUCACCCUCUGUGUCCUGCUCAGGUCUCCGCGGCUACACCCUCGGGGCCUCCCCAUAGCCAGAGGCAGUGCCGAUUGUGGCUCAGCUCCCUCCCCUCAGGGGGCCUCCUUGGGGUGUCAGUGGUGAGUGGCAGCACGUCGCAGGUCGCAGCUGCUGUCUGCUCCCUGACCCUCCCCUCAGCCCAGGCUCCUUGCCUGCCUGCCUUCCGAGGUGAGGCAUGCUCCCUCCUCCCAGGCCUGCGGGGGCCUUGCGGGCCUCAGGGUGGGAGCUCUGCCCUGGUCCUCAGCAAGCGGGGGACCGCUGGUGCCCAGGCCCUGCCCACCUCUCAGCUCUGUCUGCCAUCGUCACCCCUCCCCCCGCCACCCUGCUUUUGAUUCUGGAAGCUGCAGACCGACAGAGAAGCUGAGCAGCCAAGAAGGCCUGGGCCCGCUCCUGCGCGAGCCGCCGAGCCUGCCGUCCCUGCGGGCAGCUCUGCACAGGCUGCAGGGAGGCUCCAUAGUGACUGCUGUCCUGGGCCUCACGCCCGUCUGCCCACCCCAAGCUCGGGGUGCCAGUGGCCGAGUCUCACCUGUCUGGGCCAGGCACCCUUUCCUCCCCCCGUGCUGGUCUGAUGAAGGCGGGCGGCCGAGGGGCAGCAGAGGCCUGCUGGGUGAAGCCUUUUCCUCCUCUAGUAGGGUUCGCUUCCAGGUCCCUCACUCGUCCGAAGUGUUCUCACUCGCUUCAGAGUGGGUGGGGGCCCCUGGGUGACCCCGUGCCAGGGCAGAGCCUCUGCUAUGAGCCGGUCCCACCGUCUGGGCAGGCAGGUCCUCACAGGCCGCACUUCUCUCCCUGCACCUUUGCUCCCUCCCUCUGCUCGGCCCCAGGGCUGUCUCCAGCCAGCGGGGGCUCCCAGCCGACCCUUGCCUCUGCUGCUCAGCUGUGUGCUCAGUGCUGCGACUCAGGUCGCCAUGUCCCUACUCUCACCGUGGGGUCUCUGGUGGUUGCUGAGGCCGAGGCCCACUAACCUCUGGUUUGGAGCUGGAGGCCAGCCGUUCACCACUUGAGAAGGAAGGGCAGAGCCAGGGAGGGUUACAGCAUGAGUGCAGGCCUGGGCGCUGCCUGGUGCGCCGCUGCACGCAGGUGUUUGGGACCAGGUCCCGCGGUCAGCUGCCCCACCCCCGUGCCCUCUGCAGGCCUGCCCAGGAGUGGCCCUGCAUGGGGGGAUGGGGGUCAAAGGCCCAGAGCAGGGCGGGGCCUCCAUCCGGCCGGGUGACCUUUAACGGGACGACAGGCGCCUCUCCCACCAAGCAGAGCGGGUCCUGCUGCCCACCUGAGUGCUGAGUGCUGUGGGUGACUGUCGCUGGUGAAAUGGUCUCCGUCUUGGCGUGGCCCUGUCCCCCAGCCCCUGCUGGCAGCUGCCCUUAGACACAGGUUUCUAGGUCAGCCUCUGUCACCCGUGGUGACAGAGCCAGAGCGCACAGUGCUCGGCCUGCCUUGGGGUGUCCCGGCUGCGGCACAGACCUCAGAGCCGCCUCCCCCGGCCCCGCCGUGCUGCUCGGGGCCGCUUUGCUCUGCCCGCGCAGCAUCCUAGACGUGCAGCAGGGAGGCUGCGGUCUGGGGCUGCGUGUGUCCGGGUGGCGUGGUCACGGGUUCCUGCCGGCCGUCCAGCGCACCCAUGCAGGGCUGGGGCGGGGUGGGUGCUCCUUCCUAAUGCUGCGUUUCUCUCUCCUGCUGCUGCCACCUCUCAGGGCUCGGCCGUUCUCACACUCCUUUAGGUAAGACGGGCGCUGGACGUGCCUGGGGAGGCUUUUCUGCUUCAGGGCAGAGUGGACCCUGCGGCCCAGGGAGGCUGUGCUGGAUGAAGCCAGGCGUGUCAGGGAGCCCACGCCCCAGUGACACCGCAGGGGCCCUGCCGCCUGCGUGCUUCUGCGCGUGCCCCACCAGGUGGAGCUGCUCUCUUCCCGCGGGGAGGAGGGUCCCUUUGGGACCCAGUCAGCAGCCUCCCCCGUUGAUUAAGCUGCUCUUCCAGCCCAAUACCCGGAACCCAGGCCGAGCCGUCACUGGCUUUCAGUAGCCUUCUCUGACCAGGGUCUCGCUGGCUCGCCUGGUGGUCACGGAAGGGUGACUGGCAGCUCUUUGCACCGAAGGUGUUUUGGGGGCUCCAGGCCCAGGGCUUCCUGGCUUCCCCAUUUCAGCACUGCCCUUGGCAGUGCCACACUUCUGGGGCCACGAGAGGGGCCCCUUGGGUCUGGUUUUCCUUGGGUGAGGGCGGCCUGGCAAAGCGUCUCUGGUGGCGAGAGCCAGUAGUGGGGUUUCUGCCGGAGCUGAGCCGCCGAGCGCGGGCGUGUCGCGUGCUGACUCUUCCUUCUCUGCUCUUACCACGCUUCCGAGCAGCAGCUCCUCCAUCCGCCACUCCAUAAGCAUGCCGGCCAUGAGGUAACGUGACCUGCCCCCAGCUCCGGGCGGUGGGAGCCGGGUGGAGGGUGGCUCCUGCCCUGCCCCACGCUCCCCAUGUCCCUGAAUUGGGGCUACCUCCCCUGUCAACCUCCCGGUGGCUAAGGUUGGGCAGGAUCCCCUCCACGGCUGCAGAGCUGGUGGGAGUGAGGCCUGGAGGAACCACUGGGCUCACCUGAGCUCCACCUGGGACUUCCCAGGGCUGUCCAAGGGCUUGGGCCAGGAAGGGGCAGAGAGGCCCCCAGGCGCCAGCUCCCAGGGAGCUCCGGUGUCCCCAGGCCCCGGGUGGAGACUGUUUGAUCUGUGUCUCUGAGCACUUUGACCUGUUCCUCCUGCUCCGGGAUGCAGCCUGGGUCCGCACAGAGCUCCUGUCCUUGCUCAGCAGAAUCUGGUGCAGCUGCCACAUCCAGAGCAUGCCCGAGGGCACAGAGGCCUUGAGCCUCUCCUCACUCCUCCCAGCAUUGCCCUUGGUGGAGUUCCCGGCGUGGCUCAGCGCUAACAAACCCAACUGGCAUCCAUGAGGAUGCAGGUUCCCUGGCCUGGCUCAGUGGGUGAAGGAUCUGGCGUUGCCGUGAGCUGUGGUGUAGGUCACAGACAUGAGUUGGAUCCCGUGUGGCUGUGGCUGUGGUGGAGGCCAGCAGCUGUGGCUCCAAUUUAACCCUUAGCCUGAGAACCUCCGUACACCGUGAGCACAGCCCUAAAAAGAGAAAAAAAAGAAAAGAAUUGCCCUUGGUUUCUCUCUGCCUGGCAUGUGUGGGGGUCUGUGUGAGGGGUCCGUAGGUGGCCCAUGUGAGGUCUGGGUCUCACCGGCUGGUGGCCUGCAGAUCUUGUGUCCUUGCUGUGGGCGGGCAUGGCUGACCUCCGUCCUGACCUGGGGAAGCCUCUUGGAUGACUUUGGCUGGGCUCUCUGCAGAGUGUCCUUUUCUGGGCUUGUCGCAUUUUCGAAGUGAUCUUCUGCAGGGGUCUCUCCAGGGGUGACCCUCACCCUAAGGCCCUUGGGUUUAGGAGGGCAGCACGGCUGUCUGCUUCUCAUGCACGCAUCUCCCUCCUCUCUCUGCAGGAAUUCUGCCACCUUCAAGUCAUUUGAAGACCGAGUUGGGACCAUAAAGUCUAAGGUUGUCGGCGGCAGAGAGAAUGGUGGUGACAACCUGCCCUCCCCGGCCGGGAGUGGUGACAAACCCCUGCCUGAUCGCACGUCCUUCUGAGCCCAGCGGGCUUCGCGUGGCCACAGACAAGCACAGCCUCCUGGCCACAGCUGCAGCUGCGUGAGCGGGGCGGGCAGCCAGGCCUCGGCAGCGCUCAGAGCUGGCUUUGAGGACAGUCGUGCCAUCCAUGUGGGGCAUGGCCGCAGGCUCGCGUGGGGCCGAGGACACGCCACCUGCACUUGCCUCCACUGUGUCAGCAGAGGCGGCGGUCUCCGAGCCAGAGCCCGGCUCCCUCUGGGAACCGUGUGUGCUCAGCGCGUGUUCAAGGGAAGAGCCACAGUGUGAAACACGCCGCGUCUGCUCCGCUCCUUCCUCAGGCGCAGAGGCCGCGCCUCCAGGAAGCCCUGCCUGAUCUGCAGUUUCUUUUCAACAUGCGCAACAAACUGUCCAUUUUCGGAGACCCGCCAGAAGGAAACUGAUUAUCAGCAGCUGCCUAAUUGUUACACUAAUGAUCUAGCUUUAACAAAAGCAAAUUCUUUAUUUUUUAAAUGCAGUGGGUUUUUCAAAAAUUAAAACUAAGCAAAGCAACUUUAGCCUCA
Molecule: non-coding RNA, 5023 nt
Organism: Sus scrofa (pig)
Lineage: Eukaryota; Metazoa; Chordata; Mammalia; Artiodactyla; Suidae
Source: RefSeq, a predicted model, not a curated record